Molecule: non-coding RNA, 3149 nt
Organism: Oryctolagus cuniculus (rabbit)
Lineage: Eukaryota; Metazoa; Chordata; Mammalia; Lagomorpha; Leporidae
Source: RefSeq, a predicted model, not a curated record
GUGAGGCAGAUUGCACAGAGAGAGGGAGAGAGCUGCCAUCCUUUGAUUCACUCCCCACAUGCCCACAGCAACCAUUGUUAGGUCAGAGCCAAAUCCAAGAGCAGGAAGUCAACCCGUGUCUCCUGUAUGGGCGGCAGGAAGCCAAUCAUUUGAGCCUUUACUGCUGUCUCCCAGGGCUUGUGCCAGCAGGAACUUGGAGUCAGGAACCAGAGGCAAUGCAAAAUCCAGAGGCACGAAGUCCAGAGAAGAGAGGAUGCUACUGCCCAGUCCCCUUCUACUCCUGCCGUCCUCAUGAUCACAACCUGGCUGCUAUGCUUAGGCACCCUCGAUGUAUUCCAGGAAGGGAAGGAAGGAAGCUCCACCCAAUACACUCAUGCUUCCAGCUAACUGACCACAAGCAGAUACCUGGCAAACCAGCACAGAGCGAAGCUGCAAACUGCAUUCACCCAGUGGACCAGAGACAGAAUGGUUUGGAAGGAGGAACGGCAAAUGUUACCGGAAAGAACAAAGGUCAGGCCAGUUGCUGCUUGAAAACCAGUCCUCCAGAGCCAAGCGUUGAUGCAGGGAGGUCGGGCUCAUCUAGAAGUCAGCCGCUUGAAGGGGGCGCAGGCUUUCAGCACAAACACCUGCCCAGAUGCUCAAGCUCACAGGAUUUUUUUUAAGAGGGAGAAGGGAGUAGGGAGGUGUUUAUGGAGAAAACAGGCUUGGUUGGCUGUGGGCCAGUUCCUUCCAUCAGUUCUGAUAAUCAUGCUGAAAUUGGCCAGAUGGUGGUCCUUUCCACUCUGGGCUUGUGCUAUUCACAGCUGGUGCUCGUAUAUUCUUCCCACAGCCGAGGUCCUGCAGUUCUAGCCGACUUCCCUGAGGUCAGUCCCUGGACUUCUUAAGCAAGCCUUUAUCUUGGAAGCAGAAGUCUGGUAAGUCAAGAGGCAGCAGUUAGCUUUUGCUAAGUGGCAAAUGGAGUCACUUUAGUUCUGGCUGCCCAACUCGCAGGCAUUAAGAAUGAGGCAGCUCUAUGCAUGGCUAUGGGUCCACAACCAACAUAUAUGGUCAGGCAGCAAGCAACCAACCAAGCAGGUGCAGAGCAGAAUGUAUGGCAUGCUGUCACGUGCACACGAUGCUAAGUGUAUGUGCACAUCUGCAUCCUUGCAAAUGCACAGAAUCACGCUAGAAGGAAGUACACAUUACAGUAACCUUGUUUGCCUCCAGGAAGGAGCCCUGGCAGACUAGACACAGAGGAGGGAGGGAGAUUCGCUUUUUGCGUUUUGCUCUUCUGUGAUUUUGAAUGUUCAAGCACAUGUGUGCAUUAGCUAUGCAAAUUCUAGUAAUUUUUGAAAGAUAGGAAGAAUCCUCCAAGAGUAACAGAGUUUUCCUCUGGACCAUUAGUAUGAUUUUCUUGUUCUGAAUGAGGAGGUUCAGGACACGCUACACCCAAAAUAUGGCCCCUUGGCAUUUGAGAAAACUGAAGGGACGGGGAGGCCACUCUCACUUCCCCACUCUCCUCCCCUGCAGCGGAUCCGAAACCCAGGACGGUCACUCUCUGCUCUGCUUCCAUCCUCCCCGCCUGCAGCAGGACGUGAGACCCUCGUGGGAGAGGGGCCUGCCUGUCCUGGGGAAGAAGCAUGAGUCAGGGUCACAGAGAAGAGUCCAGACACGUGGGCUUCACUCAGCUCCCCCCACUUUCUAGCCUUUAGAUCAUCCUUAUGUGUCCAGUCACACUGCUCCAUGACUAACCACUUCCCACUUAAAUCCAGCAUAAAAAAUGCACCAACCCAUCUGAUCUGGGGAGGAGCUUCACCUCUGAAGUCUCUCAUGUCACAUACAAUUUUUUUUUUGACAGAUAGAGUUAGACAGUGAGAGAGAGACAGAGAGAAAGGUCCUCCUUCCGUUGGUUCACCUCCCGAAUGGCCACUAUGGCCAGCGCUGUGCCGAUCCAACACCAGGAGCCAGGUGCUUCUUCCUGGUCUCCUAUGCGGGUGCAGGCACCCAAGCACUUGGGCCAUCCUCCACUGCCCUCCCGGGCCACAGCAGAGAGCUGGACUGGAAGAGGAGCAACCGGGACUAGAACCUGGUGCCCAUAUGGGAUGCUGGCACCUCAGGCAGAGGAUUAACCAAGUGAGCCACAGUGCCGGCCCCGUCACAUACAAUUUAAAGAAAUGUGUUUGCUUUUCUCUUGCUAAUCUGUGCUUUGUUAUAGGGGUCUCUGCCAUGAACCUGAGGAUUAAUAGAAACAAGAAGAUUUUUCUUUCCUCCAUGACUAAGAGUCAAAAACAUCCAACUGGAUGCUUUUUAAAUAACUUCAAGAGUCCUGAACCUGUCCGAUGGGAAAAUAUGGAAAAAAAUGCAGCAUUCUUUGGUCAACUCAGGCAAUCAAGUUAAGAGGCUGCAAAAAAUCAUAAAGGCAUGACAAAGAGGCCGGGGUCUGAGGGGUCUUCAGAACCAGGCUGAAGUACCACAUGAAAACAUCCAAGAGAGCCCAAGAAAUGCACACUGCUUUCAAAGAAAUGGAAGAUCAGCCAAUCAGUGAAGGGAUUUGUCCUGGCGCAGGCUGGAGGCUGGAGGUCGGCAUCAGAAGAAUUAAGCGAUUCUGGUGGUUCACAGUCCCAGUGAGAGCUCAGGGCAUCAGCCAGGGGCUUCACAUCCUGUCUCUUGGCCAAAAAUCUCUGAAAUGUCUAACCUCCCCGUCCUGGGUUGAAAGCCUGAAUUUGAUAAAGACAACUGUCCCCUUCUUAAGUAAGAAAGGUUCACUUGCCAGCGCCACGGCUCACUUGGCUAAUCCUCCGCCUGAGGCACCGGCAGCCCGGGUUCUAGUCCCGGUUGGGGCGCCGGGUUCUAGUCCCCCGGUGGCUCCUCUUCCUGUCCAGCUCUCUGCUGUGGCCCGGGAGGGCAGUGGAAGAUGGCCCAAGUGCUUGGGUGCCGGCACCCGCAUGGGAGACCAGGAGGAAGCACCUGGCUCCUGGCUUCGGAUCGGCACAGCGUGCCAGCCAUAGUGGUCACUUAGGGGGUAAACCAACAGAGAAGGAAGACAGACCUUUCUCUCUGUCUCUCUCUCUCACUGUCUAACUCUCCCUGUCAAAAAAAAAAUUAAUACUGAGAUAAUAAAGGACACCAGGCCUCUUUCUUUAUGUAAAUACAGAAAUAAUCUAAACACA